This 58-nucleotide transfer RNA is filed under the name Phaethon lepturus (White-tailed tropicbird). It matches the Rfam family "tRNA", at positions 8 to 63 of the family's 71-position model. Rfam says of the family: Transfer RNA (tRNA) molecules are approximately 80 nucleotides in length. Their secondary structure includes four short double-helical elements and three loops (D, anti-codon, and T loops). Further hydrogen bonds mediate the characteristic L-shaped molecular structure. tRNAs have two regions of fundamental functional importance: the anti-codon, which is responsible for specific mRNA codon recognition, and the 3' end, to which the tRNAs corresponding amino acid is attached (by aminoacyl-tRNA synthetases). tRNAs cope with the degeneracy of the genetic code in two manners: having more than one tRNA (with a specific anti-codon) for a particular amino acid; and 'wobble' base-pairing, i.e. permitting non-standard base-pairing at the 3rd anti-codon position. The record is from Rfam by way of RNAcentral. Lineage: Eukaryota; Metazoa; Chordata; Aves; Phaethontiformes; Phaethontidae.
UAGCUCAGUCAGUAGAGCAUGAGACUCUUAAUCUCAGGGUUGUGGGUCCAUGCCCCAC